GCAGCAGCAGCAAUUGCAGCAACAGCAGCAAGAGACAGCUUCGCCUUUACAGGCUGUAGUUUCACCUCCUCCAGUGGGCUCACCUUCAAAUCUGGCAAUCCCACAACAAAUGAACCAAAAUUCCCAGCAGCCACAGCAACAACAACAGCAACAUCAACAGGCCAGCCCACAGCAGAUGAGCCAACGAACUCCACUCAGCCCACAGCUGAGUUCAGGGGCUAUCCAUCCUAUGAGUACUGGUAAUCCAGAAGCAUGCCCAGCAAGCCCUCAGUUGAGUUCACAAACCUUGGGGUCAGUAGGUAGUAUAACCAAUUCUCCAAUGGAACUACAAGGUGUGAACAAGAGUAAUUCCAUUAAUAAUGCCUAAUUGAGAUGUAAGCUUCAGCUCCUUUGAAACUGUAGGGGCAAUUGCUAUAUCAUCCCUGCCAUGUCUAUGAAUACAUCUGGUCAGGUUACUGUGAAGAUGAAACAAAAUGGUGCCUCUGGCCAGUGCUGGUUGAACGGAUGUCUUUGUAGGUUGUGGAACAUGGAUUGUCUGGUUUGAUGGAAUCCCAAAAAGGAAACCAGAGAGGGCUUUGAGACGUGCAAAUUAUACACAUGCUCUAAUAUUGAUCUGUGAUUUCUGGUAGAGCCACUAUUAUUCUAGGUUUAUUCAUAUGUUUUGGGUUAUUCUAUAUGAGACGGAUAAUUGAAAUUGUCUGAAUCUGUCGUGAUUAAUCAUACUGUUGUUCAAUAUGAUCCUUGGUAGCAGAUUGUAGUUCAUAUCAUAACCAGUGAUCUAUAAGGAUAUAACUCCAGUCUUGUAUGAAGGCAAUGUCAUAGUUGUAAUCUGUUGGUUGAUAAACGUGUAAAUGAUU
Molecule: unclassified non-coding RNA, 857 nt
Filed under: Hevea brasiliensis (rubber tree)
Lineage: Eukaryota; Viridiplantae; Streptophyta; Magnoliopsida; Malpighiales; Euphorbiaceae
Source: RNAcentral